AUGGCCCUCCUGCACUCCAGCUGCAUCCUCUCUGGGAUGGCUGCUCCCUUUUACCCAAGCCUUGCUGGGGCAGCCUCUGCCACGGCCAGCUCCUGGUGGACCCAUGUCGAAAUGGGACCUCCAGAUCCCAUCCUGGGAGUUUCCAAAGCACUCAAGAGAGAUACCAACAGCAAGAAGGUGAACCUGGGAGUUGGUGCCUACCAGGAUGAUAACAGAAAGCCUUCCAUGCUACCCAGUGUCUGGAGGCAGAGGCUCAGAUUGCUGAAAAAAAAAAAAAAUCUGACAAAGAAUACCUGCCCAUGGGGGACUGGCUGAAUUUUGUAUGGCUUCUGCAGAACUGGCCCUGGACAAGAACAACGAAGUGUAGAAAGACAGGUUUGUCACUGUGCAGACCAUUUCCAGGACUGGAGCCUUAAGGGUCAGAGCCACUUUUCUGCAAAGAUUUUUUUAAGUUCAGCAGAGAUGACUUUCUGCCCAAACCACCCUAGGGAAAUCACACGCCCAUCUUCAGGGAUGCUGGCAUCCAGCUCCAAGGUUGUCUCUACUAUGACCCCAAAACUUGCAGCUUUGAUUUCUCCUGACCCCAGAAGACAUACCAAAAAUCCCAGAGCAGUGUUCUCCUCCUGCAUGCCCUGUGCUCACCACCCACGGGCGUGGACCCGCGUCCAAAGCAGUGGAAGGAAUGGCAUCUGUGGUGAAGAAACUUAAUCUCUUUGCAUUCUUCGACAUGGCCUACCAAGGCUUUGCCAGCGGUGAUGGUGAUAAGGAUGCCUGGGCUGGCCGUGAGGCACUUCAUCGAGCAGGGCAUUAAUAUCUGCCUCUUCCAAUCAUAUGCCAAGAACAUGGGCCUGUAUGAUGAGCGGGUGAGAGCCUUCAUAGUGGUUUGCAAAGAUGCUGAAGAAGCCAAAAGGGUGGAGUCACAGCUAAAGAUCCUGAUCCAUUCCCUGUAUAACAACGCACCUCUCGAUGGGGCCCAGAUUGCCGCAACCAUCCUGACUUCUCCAGAUUUGCAGAAGCAAUGGUUGCAAGAGGUGAAAGGCAUGGCUGACCGCAUCAUCAGAGUGAGGACCCAGCUGGUCUCCAACCUGAAGGAAGAGGGCUCUUCCCACAACUGGCAGCACAUCACCAACCAGAUUGGCUUGUUCUGUUUCACUGGUCUAAAGCCCGAGCAGGUGGAGCGGCUGACCAAGGAGUUCUCAGUCUUCAUGACAAAGGAUGGCAGAAUCUUCGUGGCGGGGGUCACCUCUGGCUAUGUGGGCUACCUUGUCCAUGCCAGUCACCAGGUCACCAAGUAAUUCCCAGGUGCGAAGGAACAGAGACCACUUUCCCUUCAGCCUUUGAACUCAUGA
RNA transcript from Mastomys coucha (southern multimammate mouse), 1349 nucleotides. It is a transcript of the gene named aspartate aminotransferase, mitochondrial pseudogene, with no coding region annotated. The transcript has a single exon. Lineage: Eukaryota; Metazoa; Chordata; Mammalia; Rodentia; Muridae. The record is from RefSeq and is a predicted model, not a curated record.